ACCUACGGGGGGCAGCAGUGAGGAAUAUUGGUCAAUGGGCGCAAGCCUGAACCAGCCAAGUCGCGUGAGGGAUGACGGUCCUAUGGAUUGUAAACCUCUUUUGUCGGGGAGCAAAGCGCGGUACGAGUACCGUGAAGGAGAGUACCCGAAGAAAAAGCAUCGGCUAACUCCGUGCCAGCAGCCGCGGUAAUACGGAGGAUGCGAGCGUUAUCCGGAUUUAUUGGGUUUAAAGGGUGCGUAGGCGGGCUUUUAAGUCAGCGGUAAAAAUUCGGGGCUCAACUCCGUCCGGCCGUUUAA
RNAcentral lists this ribosomal RNA (297 nucleotides) under uncultured bacterium. RNAcentral's name for it is "partial 16S ribosomal RNA". It matches the Rfam family "Bacterial small subunit ribosomal RNA", at positions 337 to 631 of the family's 1533-position model. The record is from RNAcentral.